Molecule: ribosomal RNA, 207 nt
Filed under: uncultured bacterium
Lineage: Bacteria
Description: partial 16S ribosomal RNA
Rfam family: Bacterial small subunit ribosomal RNA
Source: RNAcentral
CGCGUAGGCGGUUUGAUAAGUCGGAUGUGAAAUCCCCGGGCUCAACCUGGGAACUGCAUUCGAUACUGUCUGACUAGAGUAUGGUAGAGGGAAGUGGAAUUCCGGGUGUAGCGGUGAAAUGCGUAGAGAUCCGGAGGAACAUCAGUGGCGAAGGCGACUUCCUGGACCAAUACUGACGCUGAGGUGCGAAAGCGUGGGGAGCAAACA